RNAcentral lists this ribosomal RNA (472 nucleotides) under uncultured bacterium. RNAcentral's name for it is "bacterial SSU rRNA". It matches the Rfam family "Bacterial small subunit ribosomal RNA", at positions 355 to 825 of the family's 1533-position model. The record is from RNAcentral.
UGGGGAAUUUUGGACAAUGGGCGCAAGCCUGAUCCAGCAAUGCCGCGUGCAGGAUGAAGGCCUUCGGGUUGUAAACUGCUUUUGUACGGAACGAAACGGUCUGCCCUAAUACGGUGGGCUAAUGACGGUACCGUAAGAAUAAGCACCGGCUAACUACGUGCCAGCAGCCGCGGUAAUACGUAGGGUGCGAGCGUUAAUCGGAAUUACUGGGCGUAAAGCGUGCGCAGGCGGUUAUAUAAGACAGAUGUGAAAUCCCCGGGCUCAACCUGGGACCUGCAUUUGUGACUGUAUAGCUAGAGUACGGUAGAGGGGGAUGGAAUUCCGCGUGUAGCAGUGAAAUGCGUAGAUAUGCGGAGGAACACCGAUGGCGAAGGCAAUCCCCUGGACCUGUACUGACGCUCAUGCACGAAAGCGUGGGGAGCAAACAGGAUUAGAUACCCAAGUAGUCCCUGAGCGGGCUGGCAAGGCGCAU